GAUUAACGCUGGCGGCGUGCCUAACACAUGCAAGUCGAACGAUGAAACUUAACUGAUUUCUUCGGAAUGAUUUUAAGUGGAUUAGUGGCGGACGGGUGAGUAACGCGUGAGUAACCUGCCUUGGAGAAGGGGAUAGCCUUUGGAAACGAAGAAUAAUACCCUAUGAUAUGAUAAUAUCUCAUGAUAUUAUCAUCAAAGAUUUAUCGCUCUAAGAUGGACUUGCGUCUGAUUAGUUAGUUGGUGAGGUAACAGCUCACCAAGGCAGCGAUCAGUAGCCGGCUUGAGAGUGUACGGCCACAUUGGGACUGAGACACGGCCCAGACUCCUACGGGAGGCAGCAGUGGGGAAUUUUGCACAAGGGGGGAAACCCUGAUGCAGCGACGCCGCGUGAUUUAGAAGGCCUUCGGGUUGUAAAAAUCUUUUGUAUGGGAAGAAAAUGACAGUACCAUACGAAUAAGGACCGGCUAAUUACGUG
Molecule: ribosomal RNA, 475 nt
Filed under: uncultured bacterium
Lineage: Bacteria
Description: partial 16S ribosomal RNA
Rfam family: Bacterial small subunit ribosomal RNA
Source: RNAcentral